CAGUAGCCGCGGGAAUACGGAGGGGGCUAGCGUUGUUCGGAAUUACUGGGCGUAAAGCGCACGUAGGCGGCUUGGUAAGUUAGAGGUGAAAGCCCAGAGCUCAACUCCGGAAUUGCCUUUAAGACUGCCGAGCUAGCAGGUGAGAGAGGUAAGUGGAAUUCCGAGUGUAGAGGUGAAAUUCGUAGAUAUUCGGAAGAACACCAGUGGCGAAGGCGGCUUACUGGCUCAUACUGGACGCUGAGGUGCGAAAGCGUGGGGAGCAAACAGGAUUAGAGACCCCCGUAGUCCCUGUCUCUUAUAC
This 301-nucleotide ribosomal RNA is filed under the name uncultured bacterium. RNAcentral describes it as "partial 16S ribosomal RNA". It matches the Rfam family "Bacterial small subunit ribosomal RNA", at positions 509 to 807 of the family's 1533-position model. The record is from RNAcentral.